CCAACGGCCCUCUUUAGGGCCACAUAUGCUAUCGAAUACAAUGUGU
Ancylostoma ceylanicum is the source of this 46-nucleotide regulatory RNA element. It matches the Rfam family "Histone 3' UTR stem-loop". Rfam says of the family: The mRNAs of metazoan histone genes lack a poly-A tail. 3' end processing occurs at a site between a highly conserved stem-loop (modelled by this family) and a purine rich region around 20 nts downstream (the histone downstream element, or HDE). The stem-loop is bound by a 31 kDa stem-loop binding protein (SLBP - also termed the histone hairpin binding protein, or HBP). The record is from Rfam. NCBI's taxonomy places the organism in Eukaryota, Metazoa, Nematoda, Chromadorea, Rhabditida, Ancylostomatidae.